AUAAAAUAAAGGUCCAUUGACAACUAAAAAAAAGUUUUAAAAAAAGGUAAAGAUGGAGAUGUUGCUGGACACCAAUGUGAAGAGAAAUAUCAUGAAUCCUGAAAGCUUAAGAAGAAAGUAAUUUUCCCUUUUUGAGAAUUUCAGAGGGAGAGAGAGAGAGGUAGGGUGGGGGUAGACAUAGAGAAAUAUCUUUGGGACCACAAAAAUAAUGAAGUGAUAGCACUGAUGGCUGUGAUACAUCAGAGACUGACUGGUAAGUUCAAUUGUAUUUCUUGGGAUUACUUCUGUUUUUUGCAGACAGCUUCCUUGAUGUCCUAAAAAGUUUAAUAAUGAACUAAAAUAGCAUGGCAUGGUAGGUAUUGUGCUUAAUUCUCCUGAGUCCAUCCUACCACCAGAGACUUUGUAUCCAAAACAAUUAUAGAAAUUCCAUUCUUCUUUCAAGUAAUUAUUUCAGGGCUGGACAACCCUAAGCCAGUUUGGACUAAAGAGAGAAACUUGCCAAGGGUAUCUGGGAAGGAAGGUUUCUCAGCCUUAGGAGAGACCCACAAGAAGCUUUCCUUUCACUUGAUAGGCAUAAAUGAGGGUGGAUGGGUGUAGAUUGCCAACAACAGUUGUCCUACUACUAUAAGGUGAGCAUGCUUUAGGAUAAAGUCAACCCUAUAGGCUUUAUCAUAAGUUGCUUAUUCUUUCUUUCUUUUUUUGGCAACUUUCAAGUCUUCAGAGGAGAGGAACAGAAAGAACACACAUCUUCAGUGACACUGUUGAAUCCCUGAAGCUGCUCUACUUUUGGAAUUUCUGGUGCAUAAACUAUUACAUUAUAUUUCUGCCAAAGUCACCUUUGAUGUAAGGUUCAUUGCUGCCCACAGCCAUGAAUAUCCAGAGUGAUAGAAGUCAUUGGUAAGAAUCCUCUCCUUUUAGCAACCAUAGCAAAACUGUGAUAUUACCAUGGUGUCACAAUCAUCAUUUCUAAAGUGAUCCUAUUUAAAAUCACAGACACUUAUCCCAGGUGAAAGAAUACAAUUUUUACCAACUAUAAUGAGAUUCAACAAUUACAGGAGAGUAAUUUUGAAAACAGAUGUCAUGAUACUCCCAGCCUAUGCAAAGCUUAUUUUAGUACUUUCAUUGGCAAUUCUUCACAAGGUGCUCAGGGUUGCUGUGGCUGUAAUUGAUAAGACUGAUUGCAUCACAAAGGACAGUAACAUGCUAAAUUCAUUUCAACUUUCAGAUUGUAUUUAUCAUAGAAUUUAUGUGAAAGCACUCAUUGUUUUGACUUAAAAAGGUUAAAACAAAGCUCAAUUUUACAUUCUAUUUUCUCUAUUGUUAACCAUUCACAGCACCCCAUUUCCUAACUUGUCUGGAAUGUAUAUCUUAGAGAAGAAGGUGAUUUUAUUGCUGGUAACUGAUUUGAUUUGUUAGAGAUGGAAAAAAGUUCGGGGCCAUUACUACUAAAAAUAGCCAGUGCCAUCACAUUUUUGAAGUUAAUGCAUAAUCCACUUGUCAAAUAUUAAUGUCCAUGAUUCCGAGUGUAAUAAUGUUCAUGAUUCUCUUCCUGUGGUUGGCAUUUCUUUUCUCUUCUAGUUAAAAUCUUACCUAUCCCUUGAUUUUUAAGACUUAUCAAGUAUGAAUCAUUCUUUAAGCCUUCUUCAUCUGAGUCAUGCCAUACACUGGAGGAUAAGCUGGUGCUAUACUGAGAAAGUUGAGUCCUUAAGCUCUAGCAGAUCAGCACCGAGUAACAGGAAAUGUUUAGAUGGUCAAUAUUGCAUAACUCUAAUUCAAGUUCUAAAUCUACCUUGACUUCUGAGCCUUAGUAUUCUUACCUGUAAAAUGGGGACAUUUUAUAGUAAUUCAAAAGUGUAUUAAGAAGAUGAAAUGAGGUAAAUCAGAUAGAACUUAAAUCUAGCACCCAGCACAUGGAGAAUAUUCAAUAAAAGUUGUUAAAAUUAUAAUUUACACAUUAAGAUUUCAGUAGGCUGAUAUAUCUACAAAUCUGUAUCUUAGCAUAUACUUUUUUGUUGAAGAAUUCUACUUUUAUUUAUAUAUUACUUCAGUUUUGCGUAUUAAAAUGAAAAUCUGGAUUGUAUUUCCUUGGUCGAAUUUAGGUUCUGGAUUUUAUAUUUAAUAAUUGAAAUGUCCUCUUCAAAUGAUUUGAUAUCUUCACAGUAAAAAAUAGGAAAUUUUAUUGAUGUGAACAUCUUACAUAUACAUGUGCAAAUGCGUAUAAUGUCAAGAUUCAUUAGUAGCAACCAACCACUAAAUUUCUUUUGAGAUUUUAAGUAGCAAUAAGAGUCCAUUCAACAAAUAUCAAGAAUUUAUCCUAUAAAAAGCAUAGUGUGAUGCCUUGAAAAUUGUGGGAAGGAGAGACAAAAUAUAGCACAUUUUGGCAAGAUAAAUGUUUCCUGGUUAUAUAAGCAAAGUAAUUUUAUUAAAUGCAGAAACUAUUGUCUUGCAUGAUAAAUGAGGACCAACAACACCCCAAAUUUACUUUCCAAGUAUGGUUUCCUCACAUUAAUACCCUUUCUACUUUCUAAAUUACCUUUUUGAGAAAACAUGGGAUAGUGGCUGGAGUCCAAACUGGCAAAUAUGGGUGCCGCAGUCUGGCUGGGCACAAUCAGGAGCCACUUGUCAAAAGAAACUAACUUUAUUUUUAGAACCACACACGCCAAACAAAACAGCCUCUCAGGAAAAACCCUCAGAGCCCCAANCAGAGGAGCCAAUCAGCUAGAUGUUGCUGGGGCCGCUGUGAGCCAAUCAUCAGCUGGCAGCUGGAAGUUUGCUGGCAGCUGGAAGUUUGCUGGGGCCCCUUGGCUGUGGCUCUCAACAUAUGGGUAAGAAUCCUGGCUCCAGCACUUAUUCCCUGUAUGACCUUGGGCAACUCAUUUAACUUCUUAGCAUCAUUUUCAACAAAAGGGCCAAGUUACCUCUUCCAUUAUCCAGUAUUAUGCAUUAAGAGGCUAACCAAAUAUGACUUCUAGCUCCUUCUAUUAAAGAUUGUUUUUACUUUUGUUUUAAGAGGACUUUUUAGGCAACAAUUCCACUAAAUGCUUUAAUCAAUUAACCAAUAUUGGAAAUUCUAUUAAUAUUCGAGAGAAAUAGCACUAAUCAUCAUUUAUUUCAAUUACUCAGUUACAUCAUUAAACAUAAUAAAGGAAAAUAAAGACCAUCCAGGAAGUUAUUCAUUAUUUCUAAAAAUUAGUUGACAAAAGUAUUCAUUUUUGGUGGGAUAAGCUGGUGCUAUAUUGAGAAAGUUGAGUCCUUAAGUGCUCACAAUGAAGAUAAAAGAUGUGAGUGGAAUCACUCAGCCAAAUUGGCCUCUCUUUUUUUGUUACAAAGAUAUGCAGAAAGCUUUGAAAACUCUCAUGCCAAUGUAUAAAGAUGCAUGGAAGAAAUUUUAUCAUCAUGGGAUAGAUAUAAGAGAGGUUGUGUAUUAGUCAGGGUUCUCUAAAGGAACAUAACCAACAGAUUAUCUAUCUUUCUAUCUAUCUGUCUGUCUGUCUGUCUAUCAUCAAAAAUGGGAUUUAUUAAAUUGUCUUACAAGACCAGAAUCUGGAUAAUCCCUCAAUGGCUGUCUUCAGGUGGGAGAGCUGGAGGAACCAGUAAUUGCCCAGUCCAAGAAGCUGGAGUUCCAGAACAAAGAUGUAUCACUGGUCCAGGACUGAAGUUCUGGUAAUUCCCUGGACAGUCUGUGGCCAGAGUCCCAUUUGGAAGUCAGAGGGAGGUGGAGUCUGAUGUUCUCAGGCCAUCACAGCAGCAAUCAAAGCAUGCACUCAAGAAUGACUGAGCUUGCAUCUGCUGCUACUUCCUCAUUCUUUCAACUUUUUGUUCCGUCCAGACCCCUAACCUUUUGGACUGUGCUGCCCAUAUUUAUGGUGUGUCUCCCCCUCAGCUUGCUGUCCCAUAUGCUAAUCAUUCCCAGAAAUACCCUUAUUGACACACCCAGUAGCUUUUAAUCUUAGGCAUCUCUUAAUCCAAUCAAGUUGACACUGUAUAUGAACCAUCACAGCAUGUGAAUUUUUUAAAAAAUCCAAUGUAUCAGAAAAUGCACAAAUAAAUUAAAAGGCAAACAAUAAAACAAGAAAAUGUAUUUUCAACAUAUAUAUGAAGUAACAAAUUUCCCUACUAUAUAUAAUAGGCAUGCAAGUCAAUAAGAAAAGGCUAACAGUCCAAUUGAAAAGUGGUCAAAGAUCACAUACAGUUCAUUGGAAACAAAGUAUCAAUGUCUUAAAAACAUAAAAAUAUGGUUUUGCUCUUAGUUAAGAAAAUGAAAAUGAAACAUCAGUUACUAUUGCUCACCUAUUAUAAUGUAGGCAGGCAAUUUUACAGUACUUGAUAUUGAUAUGGAUAUGGAGAAACAUGUUUGGGGAAAUCUUUUCAGAAGACAAUUUGUCAGUUUCUUUCAAAAUUGCAAAGCCCCAUACUAUUUAAUGAAUAAUACCUUGUAUAGAAAUUUGUCUUACAAGUAUACAUAUAUACUUUCACAUGUGCACAAAAAGUAUGUUUGAGACUAUCUAUUGCGGUAUGGUUUAUAACAGUAGCAGACUUAGAAAAACCUAGCUGCCUGCCACUGGGUACUAGAUAAAAUAUAUUAUGGGACACCUAUACAAUGGCACACUAUAGAACAAAUAAAAUAGGUCAUUGGAAUGAUUUCUAAGAAGUAUUAUUAAAUAAAACUGCAUAUAAAUUGGACAAAACUAAAAGACAUUUCAGGCCAAUGCAACACAUGAACCUUGUUUGAAUCCUAAAGAAAAUCAACUUCGAAAGUGCAUUUAUGAACCACCCAGGGGAAAUUUGAAUGUUGACUGGAUAUUUUGAUGAUACUAAAUAAUUUUUGGGUUUUGUUGGUUUCGUAAUAAUGAGGAAGUCAUGUAAAGAACAACACAUUUCAAAGAAACAUUAAAGCAUUCUGGGUCAAACAAUGUUUGCUUCAUAAUGAUCUAUGAAUUAUGAAGAUUAAAGGAAAGAGAGUAUAGAUGAGAUAAAGAAAGGGAGUCUAGAUUGGUUCUGAGCUGAAGAGUAGUGUAGCUGGAUGAUGAGUACAUGGGGAUUAAUUAGACUAUUUUUUGCCUUUUGAGUGUUAGCAAUUUUCCUGAUAAAAUUUAAAACUAAAAGUUGAUAACUAAAGUUUCAAAAAGUUAUAAUAAAAUGUUAAAACAAAACAAAACAAAACCUAAAAUCAAAAUUGUAGGGGUUCUGUGUUUGGGAUUGAGGUCUCUGAUAGCUUCAUGACAGUGGCAUGCUUGGUGGCUAGGAAGUUUAAGACACAGAAUACCUGGUUGGUAGGAAGUUUCUGUGCAAGACGCAGCUGCUGGAAAAACUUCUGUGCAAAGACACAGGAUGCUUGGCUGCUGUAGCAAUGUCCUUUAGGAGGAGGCUCUGUGUUAGACUUAUCAGCCUUGACCUUGAUCUUAGGCACACAGCUCCUUGGAAUAAAGGAACUCUCUUGUUACACAACCACAAUGUUUCACUGAGCCUAAACCUGCCCACAUAACAGUAACUUUAUAUAAUGGAGUUUCCUGAGAGAUGCACAAAGCUCCUAACAUUGCAUAUUGCAACUCAGUAUGUAACUGAGAUAUAAGCUGUAUAGUGUUGCUAAGUCUGUAACCUGCCUAGUCAUACAAUAUGUACUAAUGAUGCAAAUGACCUAAAGUAACCUAUUGAUAUAAAUAAAGCUUGGCAGCUUGGUCCCUCUGCCAUUCUGCUAUUUUUCUUUCCUUCCUCUGCAUUUUGUCUCUGUGUCUCCUUUUCUUUUCCUUACACAAAAUAGUAAGGCAGCUAUAUAAAAGUAUGGAAGGCUUAUAAUGAAUCUGCAUAGGAAAAUUUUUUGGGAGGAAAAAAAAACACUGAUAAUGUUUUCAUUAUGGGGAGGGAAUUAGUGGCAUAAGGUGGAAGGAAUGUUUAUUUUUCAAUAUU
RNAcentral lists this long non-coding RNA (5907 nucleotides) under Marmota monax (woodchuck). The record is from RNAcentral. Lineage: Eukaryota; Metazoa; Chordata; Mammalia; Rodentia; Sciuridae.